AAAAAAAACAACAACAACAAAAACUCAUCUCUGUUCUAUACCCAGGGUUAGAGCUAGAGGAACGUGGUUAGUGGCAUACUUGCAUACCUGUCAUGUGUGAACCCUUGGGUCAGAACUCGAGUACUUCACAAACUAGGUAUUGUAAUGCUUCUCUAUAAUUCUGGGGAGGCUGAGACAGAAGGAUCAGAAGUUUAGGGUUAGCCUCAAAUACUUGUCAAGGACUUGGGAGAGUUCAAGGCUAGCCUAUAAUCCACGGGAUUCUGUCUCAGAUGGAGAAAAAGAUGUCUUGUAUAGCUUAAAUUUACAGCUUCUGCUUUAGCCUCUUAGUACUGGGAUUAUAGGCAUGUUAGUUGUUACCCCCAGAUUUAUUGCUGAUCUAUUAAAACAGCAUUUGUAUUGUAAUGGUUCUCUCUCUCUUUCUUUCUCUCUCUCUCUUUCUCUCUCUCUCUUUUUCUCUCUUUCUCUCUCUCUGUAUGUGUGUAUGUGUGUGUGUGCUAAUUUACCACUGGUAAUUUUUUUUUUUUAAAUAAAGCUAAACAUAGUGGUGCAGAUCUGUAGUAUUACCACACAAGAGGAUAAAACAGGAGGGUCACAGAUUCUAAGCCAACCUUGGGUUAAAUGGUGAUACCAUGGUGGCUCAUGGCUUUAAUCUCAGCACUUGGGAGGCAGAAGCAGGUGGGCUUCCCAGAAUUCAAGACCAGCGUGGUUUACAUAGUGAGUUAUAGGCCAGCUAGGGCUACAGAGACCGACCCUGUCUAAAAACAAACAAAAAGAUACUUUGGUAUGUCACAUACUACCUAUAAGGCCUCAGGCUGCAGUCUUUAGUUUGAGGCUAGCCUGAACUACAUGGUGAGAUCUUGUCUUAAAACACCAGGAGCUGAAGAUUUGACUCAGUAAUAGAGCACCUGGUUAACAAAACGCUCUGGGUUCAAUGUCAAUCUCUGUUUCGAAGUCUUACCUUUGCCCAGGACACAGCAGCAGCUUCAGUCCCUUGCUCCUAGAUCUCUAUCCAUGGGGAAGAUGAAAUCGCCCUUUUGGAAAAUAACCUCACUUGACAAGUCUAUUCCUAACCAGGAUUUCUCAAAGGCCAAAAGCAAGAAUAAAGCAGAGGUUACUAGUCAGGUAAGCUUUGGGUGGCACUUAAGUGAAAAAUAAUAGCUCUUCUGACUACAGACCUACCUCUCAUUUCAACCCCCAGAGUUUUUAAAGAAAGGGAUAAGAAUGCCUAUGUUAGAAGAAGUGUAGAUUAGACCUUUUUUUUUUUUGUCUCCCAGAUAAAGAAGGGUAGGUAGAGGUAGAGCUCUUACCUAGAAGACUCGAGGGUUGCUGGGGAUGAAGUCGCAGCCUGCUUUAGGGAGGCGGAGCCUAGUAUUGUGGAGUUUGUGUUCUUAUGUUCUUUCUAUACAGAUAACUUAAACUGACAAAGUGAACAUUGACGGACAUAGUGUGGAAGAAGGAAGCCCGCCAGGAAACACAUUUGCAGCAAGUGCUUUGUAUUCGGGUAGCAGAAAGGACUCCCAUGGCACUGGGGCCCUUCAGUCCAAGGCCGGCAUCUCUAGAGGAGACCUUUGCCGUCCUUAGGCUGCCUAUAGGAUACAGUUCAAGAACAGGGUUUUGUUAGUGGCUUUUGGUCAUUGGGAAGGACCCAAUGUUGAGUGGUAAGUGCUUGCCUAGGAUGUGGGGCCAUAGGUUCCAUUCCCAGCAACACAAACACACAAAUGAUCAAUGAUCAUUGAGAAGAAGGCAAGUGUAGGAAGGGGAAAUGUUCAGAAUAUGUUCACUGGCCUGACUUUUUAUUCUCACAUAAUUAACAUCUUAAACUUAAAUGACCUUCAUUAUAACUUUUAAAGAUGCAUUCCAUGUGGUAAGACUUCUGAGAUUCACGUUUUCCCAGGGGCAAGAUUAGAAGACAUUGCCUUUUAACACCAGCAGCCAUUUUGUCUUAAUGCUAACAAGGACUAGCAUUUAGUUUGCUUUUGCUCUUGACUUGGCCCUGAGUUAGAUCUGAAUCAAAAGAACUAAGAAAUGUGGGACAGAAUAUGGUUCGGGUAUGUUUGUGUUUUUAGACAGAUUAUUGGGCCUGUCUCAGUCGGGGGACCUUGAGUGGUGUUAGAACAAUAGUGUUGUCAACAGCAACAACAAAAGGAGCCAUAGUACCGCAGGCCUUUGAUCCUCCUGAGGAAGGGGCGGGUCUCUGAGCUCAUGGCUAACCAGAGCAACACAGUGAGAUUCUGUCUCAGAAAAUAAAACAAAAAAUAGUGUUGCUUAUAUUUGAAAUUAGUAUUUUAAAGAACCAUACAAAAAUCUGAAGUAUAGUUAAAUUAUUGUAGCUAAUAACAAACAUGGCUGCUACCCUGAAAGCAUAACUACUACAUGGUUCCUAACUUCACAGUUCCUAAGGAGUGUGCAAGCUCCUAAGAAGGCAAGUGUGAACAGCCCAGAGUAAUGUCACGUAGGAGAGUUUAUAGGCACUUUUUUGGGGAUAGUUGAUAUCCUUGGAGUUUCUUAUUACAAGGACCUCUGCUUUUUCUUAAACUAGGUAGGAAAAGAAACAAAAAUGAUCCAGUUAUCCAGGUUAUCAAGAUAUUUGUCUUUAACAAGGCACAAACUGUAUCUGUCAUUGGAGCCCUUCUGAACUGUAGGCUUCAUGAGAUGCCAGUGAAACUGAGUAAAUGUUCAGAGUAGGAACACCCAGAAGUGCAGGGUUAAGUUAACCCUGAUAGUGCAAUGACAUUGACCCUCUACUCCAGUGCUGGGCUGGGAGGGAAUUACUUUAAAGUACAACCUAUGGGCUUGGGAUGGAGCUCAGCUAUGAGAGUUUUUACCUGGCGUGCAUGAAACUGUGUAUUUGACCCUUAGCACCUCAUAAAUUGGGCAUAAGUGGCGCUUGCCUGUAAUCCCAGUGCUUAGAAAAUAAGAGGCAAGAGAUUGAGAAGUUCACAAUGGUCUCUGCUUCAUAGCAAGUUCAAAACCAGCCUGGAGGAUGCAAGACACAGAAUCAAGGAAAAAUACUGUGGGAAUCCCUGUCGCCUGUUCUGACAACAAAGUUCCCGCGCUAGGAUGGAGGAGGAGUCUGACUGACGACUCCCCGACGGGCCUAAUCUAGGCUGCUAAGAUAGGUAACAGUCAUUGCAAAGUGCACAUUUUAAAUGAUUUCUCCUGAGGAACACAUCUGAGCCACCGAUGGAGUGUGCCUUGAGAAGGAAUGUCUCAGUUGGACUCUAGGACCAUGCAGCAAGGAUGAUUGCCUGGUCACAUGGUUGGAGUAAUCAGACUCUUAACAGCAAGUCUGGGGUUUCUACUCAUCUCUCAUCAUCUUCAUCCCCACAUGAGUGGUGACAUACCCUAUCUUUCUGGGCAUCUCAGGGAGUUGAGCUGUCAAGUCAGUUUGGCUAGCCUGCUUAAGAGUUAAAGAAAACAAACAAUUUGGUUUACUAGCUACCUGAAUUUUAAAAAGUUCUGGUUUUCAGUUUAUGAUUUUAUACUAUAAAGAGUUUCCUGGUCCAUUUCAAAUGCAUUUUUCAGUGUUUUCCCUACUCUGUGUUGAGUUCAUUUCAUUGCUUAUUUCCUAUGACUCAGAAAAUGGUUGAGUAAGCUGGGCAUAGAGGAGCACACUUCUAAUCUCUGUGUUUGGGCAGCUAAGGCACAAGAGGCUCAAAUUUGAGGCCAGCCUAAGUUGAUCUACACAUUGAGACUCUGUCUCAACAUUUUAAAGAAGGAAAACCAGUUGAAUAGAGAUAAACCUUUUGAGUAUAAAGCCUGCACUAAUAAUCAUUAAAUAAAAGUUCACCUUUUUUUUUUUGGUUUAAGUGGUACAUAAUAUCUUAAAUUUGACAAGUUAGAGAACCACUCAGAGUUGAUUGGUGUGACUGGUUCUUUUUAUCAGAUUUGUUUUCCCUUUACCAUUCAGCAAAACCAUCAAGAGACUAACACUGAAUCUCUUUGUGUUUGGUCUUCACGGGAAUCACAUGUUUUCUCACUGAAUAUUUUUAUUAAAACAAUGUAGAAUCUGACUGAUCGAUAGCACCCACGUUACCAGACACUCAGGCAGCAGGCUCCAAAGCAGCCUAGGCAAUUCAGUGAGAACCUGUCUCAGAACGAAUAGAAGAUUUGCAGCCUAAACUGGGGAGAGAGAACCAACUGGAGAUGGGGAAUUUGGGAAGGGAAUGAAUGAGAAAUUAUAAUGAUGCCCAUGACUGAAGAUGCCAUAAUAAAACCCUUUACCUGGUCCCCUAACCCAAGAAAUUCAGAAAGAAAGAAAAUGUCUGCACAUAGAUCUUGAGCUUGCCAGAGAGCAAGUUUUGAAUUAUAAAAAUGAGUUACAGCUUGUAAUUCAUUACUCAGAGUGUGCCUCUUUCCAAUUGAAGUUGCAAGACCUCAGACUAUGCCCCCGUGACUUAAUUUUAUGUCCUUCCCUGUUUACUGUGUCUAACCUUCAAGAUUUCGUGACUGAUGCUGAAGUGGAAGCCAGCCAGUGCAGACGUUUGGGGAAAUGACAUCUGAAGAAUGCAAAGGGAAAUAGGAAUUCCUGUCUAGCGUUCCCAACCUGCCUUGUCCUGCCUGCCUUCCACUCAACAGUGAGAGGAAAAGACCUGGGCUCAUGGAAUUUUCCAGCUAAGCCUUACAGCUCUGUUUGGUGUUCUUAGGAGAGGUCCUGAGAAGGUGAGUGAACUGUUUCUGAAGAAAGACUGCCCGUUCGUUAGGGCUGUAGUUCUACUUUUGGAAGACAGUCACAGCUCCCUUCUGGGCUCCCCGGCCCUGUGGAUUUUGAGUGUGUUGCAGGACUGUGGAAAGAUUAGAGUAGUUGCACCUGCAAGUAUUCGACUUUAGCCAGGCAUGAUGCACACCUAUAGCUCCAGCACUUGAGAAGCUUGGGCAGGAGGAUGAAGAAUUCAAGGAGAGGGCCUGGAGUGAUGGCUCAGCAGAGAACACUUGUUUCAGAGACUGGGUUCAGUUCCCAGGGCCCACAUGGCUGUUCACAGCCAUCCAGAGCUCCACCCCAGGGACUGUUCUGACUUUGGCAGGCACCACCAGAGGCUUCUGGUGUGCAGACACACAUGUAAGCAGGACUCAUAAACCUGGAAUGUUCAAAGUUCAAGGAGAGCUGUGGCAGUGCAGCAAGCCCCAGCUGCAGUGAAUCCUUUCUUGUGUUAGUUCCAUCCUCAUUGUAUAGGCUUUUAAAUUCUGUAGUGUCAGAGGGUGCACUAGAAUUACAUUUGCACUUGAUAGGCACAAAUACAGGUAAACUAGAGGGGGUAGUAGUUUCUAGUUUCUCUUAGCAUUCAUUUAUUAAUUUUGUUAAAAAAAAAAAACCCUCAAAGGUUACAAGAAAUAAAUUAUUCCAGACUGAUCAUGUACCCAUGCAGUAGGCAUCUGCAGGCCUACUAAUACAGAGGUCAUGACCUUGAACUCAUUUUGAUUCAUAAAGUAUAGAGAGUUUAGUUUAAGGAAUCAAAAUCUGAUUAAAAGGGAGAGUGGCUAAAUUUUUUUUUUUUACUAGCAAUCUACCUACAUAUGCUAACCUGAAUACACAUUCUAAAUGGAAUGUGUAUUCAGUGUGUGCUAGUAAGUCGCACACUUAGAAUCCAGCACUCAAGAGGCUGAGGCAGGAGCAUCAAGAGUUUGAAGCCAGCCUGGAAGUAGUGAUGCACGCCUUUAAUCCCAGCACUUGGGAGGCAGAGGCAGAAAGAUUUCUGAGUUCGAGGCCAGCCUGGUCUACAGAGUGAGUUCCAGGACAGUUAGGGCUACAUAGAGAAACCUUGUCUCGAAACAAAACCAAAAAAAAAAGUUUGAAACCAGCCUUACACCAUUUGUUAGUCAUAUACAGUGGACAUACACACCUAUGUGGGUUUGCAUGUGUAACAUUUACUAGAUCCUUCAUGUCUGAGGAACUAUAAGAGCCUUACAUGUAAUAUCUCAAGACCAGCAGAAAAGCUAACAAACUUGGCCUAAGUAUGUACACUGUGAUGUUGACCAGUGUCUGAACACAGGCAGGUUGGCUGCAGAGCGUGCACUCUUCAUUUGGUUGUGAUAAUGUGUAUGUGUAGUCCUGCAGUGAGUAACCCCAAAACAUUGAGGUUCUUAAGAAAAUUUGUAUUAGUUUUUAAAAAAAAAAGGCAGGUGUAAUGGCAUACCUUUUUAUGCUGAGGAGGCAGAGGCAGGUAGGUUACUGCAUGUUCAAGGCCAGCCUGAUCUUCAUAGCAAGUUCUAAGCUAUCCAGAACUGCAGUCAGGACUCAAAAACAAAACAAACAAAAAGGAAGGAAAACAAAAUAGGAGUGUCCAAUUAGUGAUGAAAAUUGAUUAAUGUAGCAAUAGCUUGGGGUUUUCAGAGUCAGAAAUUCCUUCUUUUCUGACUCUAAGCUAGUCUCUCUUAAGUUUGCAUACUAACCUUUCCCCAGACAGAGACUUAAAAGAUCUGGAACAAGGGAGCACUUCCUCUUUAGAAUGUGGGCUCGGGAGAGGGGAGGAGUUUGUUUUUAACUGUUAAAUCAUGAUAAACUGACUGCUGAGACUUUCCCUAGAAUUCUUUUAGAAACAGGUAGACUUUGUGCAGAAGAGAAGAAACACUGCCUGAGCUGCCCAGGUAGGUGAGUGCCUGUGCUGUGCCUCUGUCACUGCUGUGUUCCUCUGUAAACCUGGUGUUACUUCAAUAAACUGCUGUCUGAACUCA
Long non-coding RNA from Mastomys coucha (southern multimammate mouse), 6672 nucleotides. RefSeq lists it as uncharacterized. The transcript has 2 exons. Lineage: Eukaryota; Metazoa; Chordata; Mammalia; Rodentia; Muridae. The record is from RefSeq and is a predicted model, not a curated record.